AUGUGUGGUUUUUUCCACACAUAUCCUACUCUGUCCGGGCCAUUUCAGAGCUUACAGGAGGUCCAAGAUGCUAUCAACUCUGAGCAUGCUAAACAGUGUGAAAUGAUGUGCAUGGAUGGGCUUUCCAUGAUUGAAAGGAAAGUACGCCGUGCCCUUUACUGGCCUGAUGGCAUAAGGAGAAAUACUUUGGAAGCGCAAGCUUUUGAGAAGAGCCGUAGGCCUGAAGUAUGGAUGCUUAAAGCAUUACUGGACAAGUACAAUGAUGAUAACAAUCUGUCAGAGGAUAUUGCAUAUGAACUCGUAGACAUUCUACGUGCUAAAGCAAUUCGUGAGCCAAAAGGUUCCCUAUGUAGGUUUUAUUAUCAUAUCAACUUGAUGAUAAAGACUAAAGGGGAUGAUGAUGAUCUUGGCAAUCUUUUCUUUGCUGAAGUAACACGUAAGGAUCACAAAGAUUACGCCCUCAGCCGUAUCUGCAUGCUUCAGUCUGAUGAUAAUGGUCAAUGCUAUGGUUGUACCUGUACUGGGCGUGUUGAUAUGAAACAUCCCAGUGAUGAAAACUACAGGCAUGGUGAUCCGAACACACCUUUGCCAUGCAUGGGUUUCAUCAAUGCAGAUCUUCUAACCAGUAUGUCAGAGUGGACUGCUAUAUAUAACGAAGAUGAGCUGAAAGCACAAGGGGAUAGGGUGAGGCUUGAAUGCAAGAUGCUUUAUGAUCCGGAUUCUGCAAGAGGCAAGGAAGAUACUUGUAAGACAAUAAGUUUUGGGGAACCAACACAACCCUCUAGGGGUGGCUUAUCUCAUUAUAUAUAA
This 810-nucleotide ribosomal RNA is filed under the name Triticum aestivum (bread wheat). RNAcentral describes it as "partial small subunit ribosomal RNA". The record is from RNAcentral. Lineage: Eukaryota; Viridiplantae; Streptophyta; Magnoliopsida; Poales; Poaceae.